Molecule: long non-coding RNA, 2452 nt
Filed under: Pongo abelii (Sumatran orangutan)
Lineage: Eukaryota; Metazoa; Chordata; Mammalia; Primates; Hominidae
Description: lincRNA
Source: RNAcentral
CAGACUGUGCCGAAGCUCCAUGAGACCUCUCCUCGUCUGUGCAUGAAAGAGGAGCCAGACACAGAGUGUCCAGCCGACUCUGGAGCCCAGGCUGUUGCUUCCCGGUCUGCUGGUGAGUCCUCCAUUGUCUGAUGUGGGUAAGUCCAAGAUCAAGGAGCCAGCAGAUUCAGAGUCCAGGGAGGGCUGUUCCUGAUUUGCAGAUGGCACCUUCUCUUUAUGUGUUCACAAGAUUGUGAAGCCUGUAGCUUGCAAGAUAUAGGACAUAGGUGAAAGUGUUUGUACCAUUCACUUAAAGGCAUAAAUGUCCAAAGGGACCAUCUUGUGAUACAUGCACUGUCACAGGAAAAGGUUCCAGGAAAAGUCGAGCCAGGGCUUCACAGAAGAUCAAAACAAAGAGACAAGGAGAAGCUAAGUGUAUUAGUCAGGAUUCUCUAAGGGACAGAACUAAUAGAAUAUAUAUACACACACAAACACACACACAUACAUAUAUACAUAUAUUAUAUAAACAUAUAAUAUGUGUAUACAUAUAAAUAAACGGGAGUUUGUUAAGGAGUAUCAACUCACACAAUCACAAGGUCCCACAACAGGCCGGGCCGUCUGUAAGCUGAGGAACAAGGAAGCCAGUCUGAAUCCCACAGAUGACAAACUUGGAGUUCGAUGUUCAAGGGCAAGAAGCAUCCAGCACAGGAGAAAGAUGUCGGCUGGGAGGCUAAGCCAGUUGAGACUUUUCACAUUUUUCUGCCUGUUUCAUAUCCUAGCUGCGAUGGCAGCUGAUUAGAUGGUGCCCACCCAGAUUAAGGGUGGGUCUGCCUUUCCCAGCCCACUGACUCAAAUGUUUAUCUCCUUUGGCAACGCCCUCACAGACACACCGAGGAUUAAUAUUUUGCUUCCUUCCAUCCAAUCAAGUUGACACUCAGUAUUAACCAUCACACUAAGCUUUAUUGUUAUUUUAUAGAAAUGCUUGAAAACCAGAGAUAAAUGCAGCUGCAAAUGAACGAUGACUCUGUGUUUUCCUUGUAUAUAUAAAGAUCAACAAUAACACUUAGGUCAUGACACCCACCUGCUUUACAGAUCAUUAUGGAAAUAAUACACUGCUUCAACAAUGGAGAAACAAUCAUCCAUAUUUAUGCAAGAACUAAAUUCAUGUUUGAAAGCUUGCUUUGAGCUUGAAGAUAUAAUUAUAAAACAUGAUUCUGUGACAGUAAACAAUGUAUAACAAACCUUACAGAAAUUUAUGUGAUUACUAAAAAAAAAAAUCAAUUCAUCAAUUCAAUAAACUGAGUACUGUAUUACUUUUCUAUUGCUUCUUUACCAAAUAAAUACAAGCUUUGCAGUUUAAAACUACAGAAAUUUAAUUUUUUAUAGUUCUGAGGGUCAGUAACCUAAAACUGAUCUUAUGAAAUAAAGUUAAAUCUUGGGGAUAUGAGUGUGUACAGGGCUGGUUUCUUCUGGGGCUGUGAUGGUAAAAUUUGCUUCCUUGCCUUUUCUCCUUCUAGGGAGCCUGUAUUCCCUGCCUCCUAGUGGCUUCCUCCCAUCACUCAAACCUCUGUUUCCAGCCUCAGGAUUCCUAAUGUGACUCUGAUGUUUCAUCUCCUGUUUACGAGGACCCUUCUGAUUGCUAAGAUACAUACGGUGACACUAUGGAAGUUAACUUGAAGAUUAAAACCCUGAAAAAUAGAAAGAAUCUUCUAUUGUAUAUCAGAGAUUACAAGGGCCUGAAUUAGAGUGGUGACAUUUUCAUCCCUUGAUAAUGGAUUAAAACAAUUGAAUGAAGCUUUGGGGUGAACUUACAGGACUUUAUGGCAAACUUGAUAUGGGAGACUUACAUGAAGGGAGGAAGAAAUGCGUAUGUGUACAAAAUCAUGUGGAUAGAUGUGCAUUUGUGGGUAUCUGUGAAUACAAAUACACAAUUUUCAGACAGAAGUAGUAUAAGAAAAGGAAAUCAAAGAAAGUCAAACAUUUUAAGUGUAGCUCUUGGUGCACUUUAAAAAAUUUAUUAAAUUGAAGCUGUCAUUUAUUCUCAUCAUUGUCAUCCUAUAUUAGUGAUUUUCUUUAGCUUUUCAAAUUAAAUUCAUAAUAUUACAAUUCUGAAUUCCUAUGUAUGUAUAUGUUAAGAAUCCUUUAAUAGGACUGACUUUCAUAUGUGUGUGGCUGCAUUCUGAAAUAGUUGUCUAGGUGAUACAUAAAGCAGUGAGUUCUAUUUGUAAGAUAUAUUUACAUUUAAAAUAUUCAUAGAGUUACUAACCAGCUCCAGUAUUACUGAAAUGAUUUCUCCAAAUAUCCUAUAUUUAAUUAUCAUGCUGGCAAAUUUAUUAUAACUUUGGGUUGAAAAAAUAUAUUAUGAUACAUAUCCACUGACUAAUGCCACCUUUCUACUUUCCUGAAUUAAAUGUUUAUGAUUAUUUCCAUAAAUGUGUUUAUCAGUGUAAUCAAAAAUGAAAAUAACAUAAAU